RNAcentral lists this ribosomal RNA (329 nucleotides) under uncultured eukaryote. RNAcentral describes it as "partial 18S ribosomal RNA". It matches the Rfam family "Eukaryotic small subunit ribosomal RNA", at positions 1470 to 1796 of the family's 1831-position model. The record is from RNAcentral.
CCCUUAGAUGUCCUGGGCUGCACGCGCGCAACACUGACGAACUCAACGAGCUUAUCACCUUGGCAGAGAUGUCUGGGUAAUCUUUUGAAAGUUCGUCGUGCUGGGGAUAGAUGAUUGUAAUUAUUCGUCUUGAACGAGGAAUUCCUAGUAAGUGUGAGUCAUCAGCUCGCGCUGAUUACGUCCCUGCCCUUUGUACACACCGCCCGUCGCUCCUACCGAUUGAAUGGUCCGGUGAGGUUCUCGGAUUUUUUCUGUUGUUUGGUUCGCUAAACGAUUGAAGAGAGAAGUUACCCAAACCUUACCAUUUAGAGGAAGGAGAAGUCGUAACA